Molecule: ribosomal RNA, 274 nt
Filed under: uncultured bacterium
Lineage: Bacteria
Description: partial 16S ribosomal RNA
Rfam family: Bacterial small subunit ribosomal RNA
Source: RNAcentral
AUACGGAGGGUGCAAGCGUUAUUCGGAAUUACUGGGCGUAAAGGGUGCGUAGGCGGUUUGAUAAGUCUGAUGUGAAAUCCUAUGGCUCAACCAUAGAACUGCAUUGGAAACUGUCAGACUAGAAUACUGAAGGGGCAGAUGGAAUUAGUGGUGUAGGGGUAAAAUCCGUAGAUAUCACUAGGAAUACCGAAAGCGAAAGCGAUCUGCUGGGAAGUUAUUGACGCUGAGGCACGAAAGCGUGGGGAGCAAACGGGAUUAGAUACCCUAGUAGUCC